AUUGAACGCUGGCGGCAGGCUUAACACAUGCAAGUCGAGCGGAUGAAGGUAGCUUGCUACUGGAUUCAGCGGCGGACGGGUGAGUAAUGCUUAGGAAUCUGCCUAUUAGUGGGGGACAACGUUCCGAAAGGAGCGCUAAUACCGCAUACGUCCUACGGGAGAAAGCAGGGGACCUUUGGGCCUUGCGCUAAUAGAUGAGCCUAAGUCGGAUUAGCUAGUUGGUAGGGUAAAGGCCUACCAAGGCGACGAUCUGUAGCGGGUCUGAGAGGAUGAUCCGCCACACUGGGACUGAGACACGGCCCAGACUCCUACGGGAGGCAGCAGUGGGGAAUAUUGGACAAUGGGGGGAACCCUGAUCCAGCCAUGCCGCGUGUGUGAAGAAGGCCUUUUGGUUGUAAAGCACUUUAAGCGAGGAGGAGGCUACCUAGAUUAAUACUUUAGGAUAGUGGACGUACUCGCAGAAUAAGCACC
Molecule: ribosomal RNA, 471 nt
Filed under: Acinetobacter sp. oral taxon C81
Lineage: Bacteria; Pseudomonadati; Pseudomonadota; Gammaproteobacteria; Moraxellales; Moraxellaceae
Description: bacterial SSU rRNA
Rfam family: Bacterial small subunit ribosomal RNA
Source: RNAcentral